RNAcentral lists this transfer RNA (70 nucleotides) under Bos taurus (domestic cattle). It matches the Rfam family "tRNA". Rfam says of the family: Transfer RNA (tRNA) molecules are approximately 80 nucleotides in length. The record is from Rfam by way of RNAcentral. Lineage: Eukaryota; Metazoa; Chordata; Mammalia; Artiodactyla; Bovidae. RNAcentral also lists the same sequence under 5 other names.
UCCCAGGUGGCUCAGUGGUAAAGAAUCUGCCUGCAGUGCAGGAGACCCAGGUUCAAUCCUGCAUUGGGAG